AACGAGGCCGACCUGCGGCUGAGUUACCUGCGGAAGGAUCAUUAACAAUUGUCCAUUUUCCUUUACAAAUAUGGAUGGUUCAAAUCCAUAUCCACCUUCUUGUGCACCUCAUUGACACGUUUGCUUUGGCAGUCUGCGGGAGAGGAGAGAGAUCCUUCGAUCGUUUCUCCGUGGAUGGGAAAAAGCGAUGGAAAGUUAUUCUUUUCUCACCUUUUUUUGUUCCCCUCCGGCGCUGCCAGA
RNAcentral lists this unclassified non-coding RNA (240 nucleotides) under soil metagenome. RNAcentral describes it as "partial contains 5.8S ribosomal RNA, internal transcribed spacer 2, and large subunit ribosomal RNA". The record is from RNAcentral.